UACGUAGGGGGCUAGCGUUGUCCGGAAUCAUUGGGGGUAAAGCGCGCGUAGGCGGCCAGAUAAGUCCGGUGUGAAAGUCAAAGGCUCAACCUUUGAAUGCCGCUGGAAACUGUCUGGCUUGAGUCCGGAAGGGGCGAGUGGAAUUCCUGGUGUAGCGGUGAAAUGCGCAGAUAUCAGGAAGAACACCCGUGGCGAAGGCGGCUCUCUGGAACGCAACUGACGCUGAGACGCGAAAGCGUGGGGAGCAAACAGG
Molecule: ribosomal RNA, 253 nt
Filed under: uncultured bacterium
Lineage: Bacteria
Description: partial 16S ribosomal RNA
Rfam family: Bacterial small subunit ribosomal RNA
Source: RNAcentral